Molecule: ribosomal RNA, 528 nt
Filed under: Kryptoperidinium foliaceum
Lineage: Eukaryota; Dinophyceae; Peridiniales; Kryptoperidiniaceae
Description: partial Bacterial small subunit ribosomal RNA
Rfam family: Bacterial small subunit ribosomal RNA
Source: RNAcentral
UGAAGAGUUUGAUCAUGGCUCAGAUUGAACGCUGGCGGCAGGCUUAACACAUGCAAGUCGAGGGGUAACAGAGUAGCUUGCUACUGCUGACGACCGGCGCACGGGUGCGGAACGCGUAUGGAACCUGCCCCUGUCAGGGGAAUAGCCCAGGGAAACUUGGAUUAAUGCCCCAUGGUAUCGUUUUAUCGCAUGAUAUUACGAUUAAAGAUUUAUCGGACAGGGAUGGCCAUGCGUACCAUUAGUUAGUUGGUGAGGUAACGGCUUACCAAGGCAGCGAUGGUUAGGGGCCCUGAGAGGGGGAUCCCCCACACUGGUACUGAGACACGGACCAGACUCCUACGGGAGGCAGCAGUGAGGAAUAUUGGACAAUGGGCGGGAGCCUGAUCCAGCCAUGCCGCGUGCAGGAUGACGGCCUUCUGGGUUGUAAACUGCUUUUCUACAGGAAGAAAAAGCCCUUGCGAGGGAAAUUGCCGGUACUGUAGGAAUAAGCACCGGCUAACUCCGUGCCAGCAGCCGCGGUAAUGCGGA